AAAAAGUGAAAGAAGGAUGGUUGAAUUGAAGAGACUGGGUGAUACAAUAAUCUAGCCUCAGAAGACAAGGACAACAAUCAGGUUGCUGUCAGAGUAUAGAAAUGCGUGCACAAAACGAAAGAAAGUAAAAGCUAAGGAGGCUUCGAGGAAAGCGGGGAGAAGAAAAUACAUGGUGGUGGCUACCAAUAGUAAAAGAGAUCAAUUAGCUAGUCUGACCAGAGGUGGCAAUUAU
RNAcentral lists this long non-coding RNA (232 nucleotides) under Elaeis guineensis (African oil palm). RNAcentral's name for it is "long non-coding RNA (EGUI_LNC026405)". Lineage: Eukaryota; Viridiplantae; Streptophyta; Magnoliopsida; Arecales; Arecaceae. The record is from RNAcentral.